UUUGAUCUUUAAGUGGUUAAGGAAUUAAACUUUUAUGUCUGUAAAGUUUUUCACAACAUUAGCAACAAGUAAGUAUUUUUACUGUCUCCUGUUUUACCUAUGAAUGCAGCUAGAAUCUAUUUGAUUUAUAUCCCUGUAUGUGCCUUCUGUACUGAUACUGGCUUUAAUUUUAGUAUCAACUAGAUUGGCCUCAUCUAAAGAAAAAACAACAUAGAGCAGUUGCAAAUUCCCCAUAAAAUCAGCUUCAGUUAAUGAAAAAUCUUCCAUGGAUGAUUCCAUACUAAAUGUCAUGCUUAUGCAGUAAAUUUUCAUCUUACAAAGAUGAAAUAAUGUUUUCUUUUUGCUCUAAGUCUUAAUGAAGUGCUUGAAAGUUGACAUUGGGCAUAGUUGGUAUUUGUCUGGGUGACAACUUCAGUUUCCCUUUGCUUUAUGGACAGAUAGAGCACACCACAGGCAUGCCUGGACAUUCUGAACAGCUCAUCAUUGAAGAGGCAGCUAAGUAAACUGUAAGCUCAAAGUGAAAACCAUUUCAGUGCUCUGGGAUGAACACCUCUUCUCCUUUUUUUCACCCUCCUGAUGUCCCUAGUUUAGGUGGGUUUAAAUAAAUGGAGAAACACAGUGUGUGCAGUGCAUACUUUUGGGUGUACACUAAUGGUAUGUAUACAUUGAAAUGCUGUUUAAUAGAAAGACAAGCAGCAUCUGAAAAGCACAUAAGCCUAAUUGAUUCCAGGCACAACUGGCCUGGAUUUUGUUUCCUCUUAUUCCAACUUUCUGACCUUGUAAAAAUUAUCUUGAUUGUGUUAUACUAAAACAAGGCCAUGAUCUUGCAAAAACUGCCAUGUGUGCUAGUGCUGAGCAGUACCCAGUGAAGCACAGUGCGUGGAACAAAUGUCAACAGCGUUAGGCCCCAAGUUCGUUUGUUUGUUUUCCUUUGCUUAUAUCUAAUCAUGGUGAAGCAAUAGUCUCACUUCUGCUAAAAGCUGAAUCUGAGGUUUCAUUGUUAAAGGAGGUGAAAAACGUGUAGUAAAACUUGCGAUUUGAAGUGAAUCAUAAUAGGUUUUAAGUUCUUAGAGCAGUUUAAGCUGCUGGGAUUUUAUGGCAUUUAGGCAAGGGGGAAAAACAGUGAUGGUUUAAAAAUAUACAUUGCCUUUAAUUUUUUCAGUACUUUAGUGUGUGUGUGUCUGUGUGUGUAGUGGUAUCUUUGUUUUUCAGAAGAUUGCUUCUAGGGAUUGGUAGGAAAGCUGAAGGACUUACUGGCUUUGAUGAUAACCCUCACGAUACCGUUGUGCUUUUGUAUAAACAUGUAAAAAAAAAACAGGCCUAGGACAGCCUUAAGUGUUGGAUAUGAUGCUGGUAUGGGCACUGGAGAACUUGAUCAAGAAUAAACUAUGCAUUUGUGCCUUUGUCAGCGAAGCUCCCAUGGGGCAAUCCUCGUAAGCACUGGUAGCAAGGAGGCUUAUAAAAAGCAGCUCCAGGUGGAAAUGGGUCUUUUCCUGCUCCUCGCUCUAUCCUGCUGCAAUUCCCAUUUAUCCAGGCCCAGAGAACUGCCUGCCUUUCAGACUGAGCUGCACAUAUAAGAGAGUUGCGGUCACUUGAACCAGGUAUUAGACUAUCUACCUUUACUUAUGUUGAUUCAUUGAUGUUCUGGGGAGUUUCCUUGCUUACGGUGUAGGAUGUCAACUUAACAGUGGUCAUUCAACAGCAAAUGUAACUUGAAAAAAUAAAGCCUGCCUCUAAAGAAAAUGAGCAGCUUUGAUGCAUCUUUAAACUUGGUUUCAAAGAAGUUGGUGUUAAUACAACUGCCAUCAUGUUGAGGCUUUUUAGCUUCCCUGUCAGCAUUUCAUAUUUCCUUACAGAAUGCAGAGUGAAUGUGGUGUGUGGUGUAUUAUUUAUUACAUAAUAAACCUGACAGCAUGUGCGGUGUUCUGUCUCAAAAGCCAUGUUGGAAACCUACUGCACCACAGAUUAAACAGUGAAUAUUAGUGCUAA
Pezoporus flaviventris is the source of this 1989-nucleotide long non-coding RNA. RefSeq lists it as uncharacterized. The transcript is spliced from 2 exons. Lineage: Eukaryota; Metazoa; Chordata; Aves; Psittaciformes; Psittacidae. The record is from RefSeq and is a predicted model, not a curated record.